This 329-nucleotide ribosomal RNA is filed under the name uncultured eukaryote. Its description in RNAcentral is "partial 18S ribosomal RNA". It matches the Rfam family "Eukaryotic small subunit ribosomal RNA", at positions 1470 to 1796 of the family's 1831-position model. The record is from RNAcentral.
CCCUUAGAUGUUCUGGGCCGCACGCGCGCUACACUGACAGAGCCAACGAGUUCUUCACCUUGGCCGGAAGGUCUGGGUAAUCUUGUUAAACUCUGUCGUGCUGGGGAUGGAGCAUUGCAAUUAUUGCUCUUCAACGAGGAAUGCCUAGUAAGCGCGUGUCAUCAGCACGCGUUGAUUACGUCCCUGCCCUUUGUACACACCGCCCGUCGCUACUACCGAUUGAAUGGCUCAGUGAGGCCUUCGGACUGGCUCAGGGAGGUUGGCAACGACCACCCCGAGCCGGAAAGUUCGUCAAACUCGGUCAUUUAGAGGAAGUAAAAGUCGUAACA